RNAcentral lists this long non-coding RNA (2172 nucleotides) under Gallus gallus (chicken). RNAcentral describes it as "lncRNA (ENSGALG00010013496.1)". The record is from RNAcentral. Lineage: Eukaryota; Metazoa; Chordata; Aves; Galliformes; Phasianidae.
AAAAUACUUCACGUUGUACAACUUCAAAGGCACAAAAUAGGCAGUGUCUUAGCAAUGCAGUGUUUUUCUGUGCUGAUGCACACUGCUAACAUUCAGAAAAAUAAUUUCUGAUUUCCAGAGACUCAGCAUCAAGUGGAGAACUUCUCCCCUUUCAUAGGAACAGACCUGGAGGAGGUAAGAGAGACCUAUGAUGCACUAACUGCAGAGCCUUGCAGCUUCAUAGCCAGACACGGGCCAAGUACAUCACACUGCCUAUCCCAAGUGGAUAGGCAGUGCCCAACUGCAUGUGACACCACUACUUGUCGAAGAUAAUUCAACAGUAUUUUGGAGUUUUGUUAUGCUUCCAUUUCUGGGAGACCAUCAUGUGCUGGUUGAAAGAAGACUGUUUUUUUUUUUUUUCUGAAUGUGCUGAAAGUCCAGCCUCGAAUAUUUGAAGUUGCUUUUGCCUCAACUUGAAAAGAUCCAACUACUAAAAACCCUCAUCAUGUGAAGUUAGUGCUUUGUAACACCUUCUUAAUGUUUGGUUUUUUUUCACCAGGUUGUCACUACUUAGUAAUUUAAUUAGGAAAAUGUUGCAGUUCUGACUGACUCAGAAGUGCUUUCUUUUUUAUUAUCUUUCUUGCUAUUUAUCUCAUUUCUUGUCAUUGUUUUACAUAACAAAAUAAUUGUUGUUCUUUUUUUUUCUUUUUUUUUUCUUUUCCAGAAGGCAUAAUAGAUAUUUUUAAAAAUGGUGCUGUCACAAAGACCUUAAAACAGUCUUGGCUAUUGCUAAGAUACCUCAGGCAAACAUUGAAAAAAAAAACAGGCAAAAUAUAUGAAGAAAGGUUGGAGGUGGCACAAGUUCUGCCAAAGCAAACAGUCAGAAAGGGAAAAACAAACACCCUCCUCCUGCUUCCCCAGAAUGCACAUGUAAAUUCAAUUGGAUUUACAAAUAAAUUUACUUUGGUUAUGCUUACACCUUUACAUGUGUACUUUACACUAGUGAUUGUCAACAUUUACUUAUGUAAAUACCAAAGACCUGUGAUUUUGAUUUUGUAUAUGCAAAUAUUUACCCUGGAAGUCUUGUAGUAGGAUAUCACACCUUUGGAACCACCUGCUGUCAGUGUUCACUUCCCACCAUGUGUCACAGCCUUCAAAAGGCAAAGGAGGCCAAAGCAAUGCUUGACCAUGGGUUUUGGGAGCAAGAUGGGGCAAGCAGUGCAACAUGCCUUGCAUCUGUGAUGUUAGAGCUAGAAAAUUGCGCAGCUGGAAUUUCAGUGAUACCCUUUGAAGAAUUUAUUUGACAUGGAAAGCUCAGAGCUUCCCUAAACUCUUUGCUGGAAUGAAAUGCUUGAGAUACAUAAGCAGUGUAUUAGGAAUCCUCCACUGAGCUGUGCAAACUGCUAAGGGAGAAUUACUUUUGAAUUCUUCAUGUUUCCCAGCCUGUUAUUGAAAGUGAUUUUGGAGAAAGGUGCAUCUAGCUCAAAAAAGGAACAUCCAACAUCAUCCAAGUGUCUUAUAAGGCCUCAUAUCUUGUUAUAUAAUCAAGAAAAUAAAAAUUGCAAGGAAGUUAUCUAGGUCAAUAUAUUUCAAAUUUAAUGUGUGGACCUCUACACACUUGUAGGGAACUAUUUACAGUUCCUUGAAAUACCAGAAGAAAAAAAAAAAAAAAGCAACAAAAAAACCACAACAAUGUAGAAGGUAGUUUUCUGAUGUAAUCAUAUAAAAGAGAUUUCAGCCUUCUUACUUGUAAGUCCAAACACAGGGCAAGUAGACUAUAAAAACGAUUCAGGGUCUACAUACUAGAUAUCAGGAAGAAAUUCUUUACUGUGAGGGUGGUGAGACACUGGAACAGGUUGCCCAGCGAGGCUGUGGAUGCCCCCUCCCUGGAAGCACCCAAGGCCAGGCUGGAUGGGGCUGUGAGCAACCUGGUGUAGAGGAAGGUGUCCCUGCCUACAGCAGGGGAUUGGAACUAGGUGAUCUUAAAGGUCCCUUCCAACCCAAACCAUUCUAUGAUUCUACAGUUCGCUCUACUUCUGAACCUCACAUAGUAAAAUGUCGUUUACUCUUUUAUCAUCUAUAUCUUUUUUUUUUUGUGUGUGUGUGUGUGUGUAUGAGUAUGGAGAUAAUGUAAUAUCACAAAGAACUUUAUAUAAGAUGAAAGCCUAUGAAGUAAAAAAAAGAUGUUGUGAU